ACGGGUGAGUAACACGUAGGAAUCUAUCCCAGGGUGGGGGACAACAGUGGGAAACUACUGCUAAUACCGCAUAACAUGACGAUGGCACAUGCUGUUGUCUUCAAAGGCGCAAGUCGCCAGAAGAGGGAUCCGCGGCCGAUUAGCUUGUUGGCGAGGUAAUGGCUCACCAAGGCAUUGAUCGGUAGCCGGACUGAGAGGUUGGCCGGCCACACUGGAACUGAGACACGGUCCAGACUCCUACGGGAGGCAGCAGUGGGGAAUUUUGCACAAUGGACGAAAGUCUGAUGCAGCAACGCCGCGUGGGGGAUGAAGCUUUUCGGAGUGUAAACCCCUUUCGACCCGGAAGAAUGCCCGCAAGGGUUUGACGGUACCGGGUAUAAGAAGCCCCGGUAACUACGUGCCAGCAGCCGCGGUAAUACGUAGGGGGCCAGCGUUGCUCGGAAUUACUGGGCGUAAAGGGUCUGUAGGC
RNAcentral lists this ribosomal RNA (469 nucleotides) under uncultured bacterium. RNAcentral describes it as "bacterial SSU rRNA". It matches the Rfam family "Bacterial small subunit ribosomal RNA", at positions 102 to 576 of the family's 1533-position model. The record is from RNAcentral.